Molecule: ribosomal RNA, 433 nt
Filed under: uncultured bacterium
Lineage: Bacteria
Description: partial 16S ribosomal RNA
Rfam family: Bacterial small subunit ribosomal RNA
Source: RNAcentral
AACGAACGCUGGCGGCAUGCCUAACACAUGCAAGUCGAACGAGCCCUUCGGGUCUAGUGGCGCACGGGUGCGUAACGCGUGGGAACCUGCCCUUAGGUUCGGAAUAACUCCCCGAAAGGGGUGCUAAUACCGGAUAAUGUCUUCGGACCAAAGAUUUAUCCCCUUUGGAUGGGCCCGCGUUGGAUUAGCUGUUUGGUAGGGUAAACGCCUACCAAGGCGACGAUCCAUAGCUGGUCUGAGAGGAUGAUCAGCCGCACUGGGACUGAGACACGGCCCAGACUCCUACGGGAGGCAGCAGUGGGGAAUAUUGGACAAUGGGCGAAAGCCUGAUCCAGCAAUGCCGCGUGAGUGAUGAAGGCCUUAGGGUUGUAAAGCUCUUUUACCCGGGAUGAUAAUGACAGUACCGGGAGAAUAAGCUCCGGCUAACUCCGUG